GCUUCCUUAGCUCAGUUGGUAGAGUGCUGCACUGUUAAUGCAAGGGUCGCUGGUUCGAGUCCAGCAGGAAGCGCCA
RNAcentral lists this transfer RNA (76 nucleotides) under Vibrio parahaemolyticus. RNAcentral describes it as "tRNA-Asn". It matches the Rfam family "tRNA". From Rfam's summary of the family: Transfer RNA (tRNA) molecules are approximately 80 nucleotides in length. Their secondary structure includes four short double-helical elements and three loops (D, anti-codon, and T loops). Lineage: Bacteria; Pseudomonadati; Pseudomonadota; Gammaproteobacteria; Vibrionales; Vibrionaceae. The record is from RNAcentral.